Molecule: ribosomal RNA, 197 nt
Filed under: uncultured bacterium
Lineage: Bacteria
Description: partial 16S ribosomal RNA
Rfam family: Bacterial small subunit ribosomal RNA
Source: RNAcentral
ACGCUCGACACCUACGGGGGCAGCAGUGGGGAAUAUUGCACAAUGGGGGAAACCCUGAUGCAGCGACGCCGCGUGGAGGAAGAAGGUCUUCGGAUUGUAAACUCCUGUUGUUGGGGAAAAAGAGGAUGGUACCCAACAAGGAAGUGACGGCUAACUACGUGUCAGCAGCCGCGGUAAUCUGAGCGGGCUGGCAAGGC